This 1950-nucleotide ribosomal RNA is filed under the name human gut metagenome. RNAcentral's name for it is "bacterial LSU rRNA". It matches the Rfam family "Bacterial large subunit ribosomal RNA", at positions 1 to 1983 of the family's 2925-position model. The record is from RNAcentral.
GAAAGUAAACAAGGGCGCAUGGAGGAUGCCUAGGCUCUCGGAGGCGAAGAAGGACGUGAUAAGCUGCGAAAAGUUACGGUAAGGCGCAAAUAGCCCUAGACCCGUAAAUAUCCGAAUGGGGCAACCCGGCCAGCAAUGGUCAUACCGCCAAGCGGUAAGCCAACGCGGGGAACUGAAACAUCUAAGUACCCGCAGGAAAAGAAAAUAACAAUGAUUCCGCCAGUAGUGGCGAGCGAACGCGGAACAGCCCAAACCACUCGUGUUACGGCACGAGUGGGGUAGAAGGAUCCACGCUACGGCAAGAAAUAAGUUAGCAGAAUACGAUGGAAAUCGUAGCCAAAGACGGUGACAGCCCGGUACGCGAAAACGGACAGAAGCCCAGUGGACACCUGAGUAACCCAGGACACGAGAAAUCCGGGGCGAAUCAGCGGGGCCCAUCCCGUAAGGCUAAAUACUCCCGAGAGACCGAUAGCGAACCAGUACUGUGAAGGAAAGGUGAAAAGAACCUCGAACAGAGGAGUGAAACAGACCCUGAAACCAUGCGCCUACAAGCGGUCGGAGCAUGUUAAAAUGUGACGGCGUGCCUUUUGCAUAAUGAACCUACGAGUUACUCUCGCUGGCAAGGUUAAGCGAUUCAGUCGCGCAGCCGAAGCGAAAGCAAGUCCGAACAAGGCGUACAGUCAGCGGGAGUAGACGCGAAACCAAGUGAUCUACCCUUGGUCAGGUUGAAGGUUGGGUAACACCAACUGGAGGACCGCACCGAUAAGCGUUGAAAAGCUUACGGAUGAACUGAGGGUAGGAGUGAAAGGCCAAUCAAACUUGGAGAUAGCUCGUACUCCCCGAAAUGCAUUUAGGUGCAGCCUCGAAGCAGAGUGAUAGAGGUAGAGCGACUGAUAAGAUGCGAGGGCUUCACCGCCUAUCAAGUCUUGACAAACUCCGAAUACUAUCACUUGAUCUUUGGGAGUGAGGGCAUGGGUGCUAAGGUCCAUGUCCGAAAGAGGAACAACUCAGACCACCAGCUAAGGUCCCGAAAUAAGGGCUAAGUUGAAUAAACGAAGUAAAACUGCAAAGACAGCUAGGAUGUUGGCUUGGAAGCAGCCAUUCAUUUAAAGAGUGCGUAACAGCUCACUAGUCGAGGAGUUUUGCAUGGAUAAUAAUCGGGCAUAAGCCCUUUACCGAAGCUGUGGAUGUCGUAAGACAUGGUAGGGGAGCAUUCCGGCGGCGACGAAGGCCGUCCUCGAGGACGACUGGAGCUUUCGGAAAAGCAAAUGUAGGUAUAAGUAACGAUAAAGGGGGCGCGAAACCCCCUCGCCAUAAGACUAAGGAUUCCUGAUCAACGCUAAUCGGAUCAGGGUAAGUCGGGCCCUAAGGCGCAGCCGAACGGCGCAGCCGAUGGAAGAAACGGUAAAGAUUCCGUUACUGGAUAUAGGAGCGAUGUGGAGACGGAGAAGUGACACACCCGCCUGCCGACGGAAGCGCAGGUUAAAGGAAGUAGGUAAACGCCGGGCAGGCAAAUCCGCCUGGCGUGCCGAAGCUGACAGUAUCGAGAGCCCCCGGGCAAUCGAAUAGCGGUGGUAACCAGGCUCCCAAGAAAAUCCGCUAAGCAUAUUCUAUAUCCACCCGUACCCCAAACGGACACACGUAGUCGGGUAGAAUAUACCAAGGCGCUCGAAAGACUCACGGUUAAGGAACUAGGCAAAUUGACCCUGUAACCUCGGGAAAAAGGGUCCCCAGUAAGAUGGGGCGCAGAGAAUAGGUCCAGGCAACUGUUUAACAAAAACACAGGGCUGUGCAAAAUUUGAAGAUGAAGUAUACAGCCUGACACCUGCCCGGUGCCGGAAGGUUAAGAGGAGAGCUUAUCGCAAGAGAAGGCUUGAAUUGAAGCCCCGGUAAACGGCGGCCGUAACUAUAACGGUCCUAAGGUAGCGAAAUUCCUUGUCGGGUAAGUUC